GAUCCUGGCUCAGGAUGAACGCUAGCUACAGGCUUAACACAUGCAAGUCGAGGGGGCAGCAUUUCAGUUUGCUUGCAAACUGGAGAUGGCGACCGGCGCACGGGUGAGUAACACGUAUCCAACCUGCCGAUAACUCGGGGAUAGCCUUUCGAAAGAGAGAUUAAUACCCGAUGGUAUAAUCAGACCGCAUGGUCUUGUUAUUAAAGAAUUUCGGUUAUCGAUGGGGAUGCGUUCCAUUAGG
This 241-nucleotide ribosomal RNA is filed under the name uncultured bacterium. RNAcentral's name for it is "partial 16S ribosomal RNA". It matches the Rfam family "Bacterial small subunit ribosomal RNA", at positions 15 to 245 of the family's 1533-position model. The record is from RNAcentral.